GUUUCUGAUAGAGGGAUACUGCUGCCAGAAUGAUCACUGGAAUUCAAGAAAAUAUAUCAUCGACUCUUCAUAGUUUCGAGAAACCUAUGCCUAUUCCAAGAGACUUGGCAAUUUCUGUUGCUUUUAAUUGUGUUGUGUAGAGCGUGACAAUAUUCUGCAAAGACAAUUAUUGUUUGUUUCUCUGUUACAUUUUAAUAUAUUCUUUUUUGAAGACAUUUUCAAUGACAAUUGGAAUCCAAACUUAAAAUAAGGUUCAACUACAUGCCAUGCAAACAAGGCUUAUUUCCCAGCUUAGGUGAGACUCAAAUGAAUCUGUAACCUUCUACACACAUGCUAAUUUGCACAUGUGCAGACAUUGACAUCUAUGUCACAACACAUUUCUCUGCCAAGUAUCUUUGGCAAAGACUAUAAAUUACAUACGAAUUUGAGAUAUGUUAAAAUGUGAAAAGCUCUGCAUCUUAGACUUGAUGAAAUACAGUAAUAAAUAACACUUAUCAAUUGUGUGUAAUAUGUUAGAUACCUCGCCUAUAUUAUUCACUUAUUUUCAUAAUUACCCUAUAAAACAGUACUGUUACUGUCUCAAUUUUACAGAUGAAGAAAACCGAGUCUAGGGGAGUUUAAGUCAUUAGUCUGAGGAAAAGGCAGAAUUGAACCAAAGCUUGAACUUGAAGCAUAUACGAUCUUCCCUACUUAUCUCUUGGUUGCUUAAACACUUCGCUAAGAAGAGAGCAUUGUAAGAAGAAAUUAAAAAAUUGCAGCACCGGAAGUUCAAGUCAAUUCUAUUGGAAGCUGGUCUUUUUUUUUUUCCAGAAGGUUCUGGAUGGAACAGACUGGACUCUUUCAAUAAGGGUUUUAAUAUGCAAUUUAAUUUACAAUAGAAUGUCCUAUAUGACUAGAAAAU
This 901-nucleotide long non-coding RNA is filed under the name Bos indicus x Bos taurus (hybrid cattle). RNAcentral's name for it is "lncRNA (ENSBIXG00005011191.1)". Lineage: Eukaryota; Metazoa; Chordata; Mammalia; Artiodactyla; Bovidae. The record is from RNAcentral.